CUUGCUCCUGGAUUCAGCGGCGGACGGGUGAGUAAUGCCUAGGAAUCUGCCUGGUAGUGGGGGAUAACGUCCGGAAACGGGCGCUAAUACCGCAUACGUCCUGAGGGAGAAAGUGGGGGAUCUUCGGACCUCACGCUAUCAGAUGAGCCUAGGUCGGAUUAGCUAGUUGGUGGGGUAAAGGCCUACCAAGGCGACGAUCCGUAACUGGUCUGAGAGGAUGAUCAGUCACACUGGAACUGAGACACGGUCCAGACUCCUACGGGAGGCAGCAGUGGGGAAUAUUGGACAAUGGGCGAAAGCCUGAUCCAGCCAUGCCGCGUGUGUGAAGAAGGUCUUCGGAUUGUAAAGCACUUUAAGUUGGGAGGAAGGGCAGUAAGUUAAUACCUUGCUGUUUUGACGUUACCAACAGAAUAAGCACCGGCUAACUUCGUGCCAGCAGCCGCGGUAAUACGAAGGGUGCAAGCGUUAAUCGGAAUUACUGGGCGUAAAGCGCGCGUAGGUGGUUCAGCAAGUUGGAUGUGAAAUCCCCGGGCUCAACCUGGGAACUGCAUCCAAAACUACUGAGCUAGAGUACGGUAGAGGGUGGUGGAAUUUCCUGUGUAGCGGUGAAAUGCGUAGAUAUAGGAAGGAACACCAGUGGCGAAGGCGACCACCUGGACUGAUACUGACACUGAAGUGCGAAAGCGUGGGGAGCAAACAGGAUUAGAUACCCUGGUAGUCCACGCCGUAAACGAUGUCGACUAGCCGUUGGGAUCCUUGAGAUCUUAGUGGCGCAGCUA
Molecule: ribosomal RNA, 779 nt
Filed under: uncultured Pseudomonadales bacterium
Lineage: Bacteria; Pseudomonadati; Pseudomonadota; Gammaproteobacteria; Pseudomonadales
Description: bacterial SSU rRNA
Rfam family: Bacterial small subunit ribosomal RNA
Source: RNAcentral